UUCAAAGGCAUGAAGACUGAAGUCUUCUCCCAGUCAGAACAUCACAGGCUGUAGCACAAGACAGCUUUCCCACUGUCCUAUCUGUAGACCUAAGUCCUAGCCUAGAGGGAUAUAUAUAGGGUAGACAGUAUCUUCAAUCUUCAUGUCCUUAAAUACUUGGCUAUU
RNAcentral lists this small RNA (165 nucleotides) under Jaculus jaculus (lesser Egyptian jerboa). RNAcentral's name for it is "TUC338 (ENSJJAG00000002847.1)". Lineage: Eukaryota; Metazoa; Chordata; Mammalia; Rodentia; Dipodidae. The record is from RNAcentral.